Molecule: ribosomal RNA, 492 nt
Filed under: uncultured bacterium
Lineage: Bacteria
Description: partial 16S ribosomal RNA
Rfam family: Bacterial small subunit ribosomal RNA
Source: RNAcentral
AGUGAACGCUGGCGGUAGGCCUAACACAUGCAAGUCGAACGGCAGCACAGUAAGAGCUUGCUCUUACGGGUGGCGAGUGGCGGACGGGUGAGGAAUACAUCGGAAUCUACUUUUUCGUGGGGGAUAACGUAGGGAAACUUACGCUAAUACCGCAUACGACCUACGGGUGAAAGCAGGGGAUCUUCGGACCUUGCGCGAUUGAAUGAGCCGAUGUCGGAUUAGCUAGUUGGCGGGGUAAAGGCGCACCAAGGCGACGAUCCGUAGCUGGUCUGAGAGGAUGGUCAGCCACACUGGAACUGAGACACGGUCCAGACUCCUACGGGAGGCAGCAGUGGGGAAUAUUGGACAAUGGACGCAAGCCUGAUCCAGCCAUACCGCGUGAAUGAAGAAGGCCUUCGGGUUGUAAAGCCCUUUUGUUGGGAAAGAAAAGCAGCAGGUUAAUACCCCGCUGUUCUGACGGUACCCAAAGAAUAAGCUCCGGCUAACUUCGUG